UACGUAGGGGGCAAGCGUUGUCCGGAAUUAUUGGGCGUAAAGGGCUCGUAGGCGGUUUCUUAAGUCUGAUGUGAAAGCCCACAGCUCAACUGUGGAGGGUCAUUGGAAACUGGGGAACUUGAGUGCAGAAGAGGAGAGUGGAAUUCCACGUGUAGCGGUGAAAUGCGUAGAUAUGUGGAGGAACACCAGUGGCGAAGGCGACUCUCUGGUCUGUAACUGACGCUGAGGAGCGAAAGCGUGGGGAGCAAACAGG
This 253-nucleotide ribosomal RNA is filed under the name Terribacillus saccharophilus. Its description in RNAcentral is "partial 16S ribosomal RNA". It matches the Rfam family "Bacterial small subunit ribosomal RNA", at positions 524 to 776 of the family's 1533-position model. Lineage: Bacteria; Bacillati; Bacillota; Bacilli; Caryophanales; Bacillaceae. RNAcentral also lists the same sequence under 3 other names. The record is from RNAcentral.